UGCGUAGGCGGUUUACUAAGUCAGAUGUGAAAGCCCCGGGCUUAACCUGGGAACUGCAUUUGAUACUGGUAGGCUAGAGUAUGAUAGAGGGGGGUAGAAUUCCUGGUGUAGCGGUGAAAUGCGUAGAUAUCAGGAGGAAUACCAGUGGCGAAGGCGGCCCCCUGGAUCAAUACUGACGCUGAGGUACGAAAGCGUGGGUAGCGAGCA
This 207-nucleotide ribosomal RNA is filed under the name uncultured bacterium. RNAcentral's name for it is "partial 16S ribosomal RNA". It matches the Rfam family "Bacterial small subunit ribosomal RNA", at positions 568 to 774 of the family's 1533-position model. The record is from RNAcentral.